GUGGGGAAUCUUAGACAAUGGGGGAAACCCUGAUCUAGCCAUGCCGCGUGAUCGAUGAAGGCCUUAGGGUUGUAAAGAUCUUUCAGGUGGGAAGAUAAUGACUGUACCACCAGAAGAAGCCCCGGCUAACUCCGUGCCAGCAGCCGCGGUAAUACGGAGGGGGCUAGCGUUGUUCGGAAUUACUGGGCGUAAAGCGCACGUAGGCGGAUUGGAAAGUUGGGGGUGAAAUCCCGGGGCUCAACCCCGGAACUGCCUUCAAAACUAUCGGUCUGGAGUCCGAGAGAGGUGAGUGGAAUUCCGAGUGUAGAGGUGAAAUUCGUAGAUAUUCGGAGGAACACCAGUGGCGAAGGCGGCUCACUGGCUCGGUACUGACGCUGAGGUGCGAAAGCGUGGGGAGCAAACAGGAUUAGAAACCCUUGUAGUCC
Molecule: ribosomal RNA, 425 nt
Filed under: uncultured bacterium
Lineage: Bacteria
Description: partial 16S ribosomal RNA
Rfam family: Bacterial small subunit ribosomal RNA
Source: RNAcentral